CUGAAUGGCCGCGGUAACUCUGACCGUGAUAAUGUAGCACAAUAAAUAGCCAAUUAAUUGUUGGCGGUAUGAAUGGAACCACGAGGGUCUUACUGUCUCAAGAGAAAAGCCAAUGAAAUUAUAAUUGUAGUGAAGAUACUACAUAAACAUUGUAAGACGAAAAGACCCUAUCGAGCUUUACUGGAUACCGAUAACGUUAACUUAGAAUGAUCGAUACUAAGUACCCUAAUUCUAAGUUAAUAAAUUUUGUUGGUAAGACAGUUUAGUUGGGGCGACUACCUUUGAAUAAGAAACGAAGGCGAGCUUAUGGUAUUAAUAAAAUCUCAUUAGCCUCACAGUGAGGAACACCCCUAGCUGACACAAGGACCUCGCUAGGGUUCCUAUGUGGGCGAUAGUGACCCGAUAUUAUUAUCCAAAAGAAAUAUCGAAAGCGGAUAAAAGCUACCGUAGGGAUAACACGUAAUAUUGUCGGAGAGUUCUUAUCGAGGACAGUGUUUGCGACCUCGAUGUUGAAUUGCGGUGUCCUGGUGCUGUAGAAGGU
RNAcentral lists this ribosomal RNA (541 nucleotides) under Renilla muelleri (Mueller's sea pansy). Its description in RNAcentral is "partial 16S ribosomal RNA". It matches the Rfam family "Bacterial large subunit ribosomal RNA", at positions 1923 to 2563 of the family's 2925-position model. The record is from RNAcentral. Lineage: Eukaryota; Metazoa; Cnidaria; Anthozoa; Scleralcyonacea; Renillidae.